ACUCCUACGGGAGGCAGCAGUGGGGAAUAUUGCACAAUGGGCGCAAGCCUGAUGCAGCCAUGCCGCGUGUGUGAAGAAGGCCUUCGGGUUGUAAAGCACUUUCAGUUGUGAGGAAGGUGGUGGUCGUUAAUAGCGGCAUCAUUUGACGUUAGUAACAGAAGAAGCAACCGGCUAACUCCGGUGCCAGCAGCCGCGGUAAUACGGAGGGUGCGAGCGUUAAUCGGAAUUACUGGGCGUAAAGCGCAUGUAGGUGGUUUGUUAAGUCAGAUGUGAAAGCCCGGGGCUCAACCUCGGAACUGCA
RNAcentral lists this ribosomal RNA (301 nucleotides) under uncultured bacterium. Its description in RNAcentral is "bacterial SSU rRNA". It matches the Rfam family "Bacterial small subunit ribosomal RNA", at positions 335 to 625 of the family's 1533-position model. The record is from RNAcentral.